Molecule: ribosomal RNA, 869 nt
Filed under: uncultured Gemmatimonadota bacterium
Lineage: Bacteria; Pseudomonadati; Gemmatimonadota
Description: bacterial SSU rRNA
Rfam family: Bacterial small subunit ribosomal RNA
Source: RNAcentral
CGAUUUGUGGGGGAUAGCCGGCCCAACGGCCGGGUAAUACCGCAUACGUUCACUGGACGGCAUCGUCUGGUGAGGAAACCUCCGGGGCAAAUCGAGGCGCUCGCGGCCUAUCAGCUAGUUGGCGGGGUAAUGGCCCACCAAGGCGACGACGGGUAGCUGGUCUGAGAGGAUGGCCAGCCACAUUGGGACUGCGACACGGCCCAGACUCCUACGGGAGGCAGCAGUGGGGAAUAUUGCGCAAUGGACGAAAGUCUGACGCAGCGACGCCGCGUGUGGGAUGAAGCCUUUCGGGGCGUAAACCACUGUUGCCCGGGACGAAACUCCCCUUUCGAGGGGAUUGACGGUACCGGGUGAGGAAGCACCGGCUAACUCUGUGCCAGCAGCCGCGGUAAUACAGAGGGUGCGAGCGUUGUCCGGAAUCACUGGGCGUAAAGGGCGCGUAGGUGGCUUGGUAAGCGUGUGGUGAAAGUCCGGGGCUCAACCCCGGAUCUGCCGUGCGAACUGCUGAGCUUGAGCACUGUAGAGGCAGGUGGAAUUUCGGGUGUAGCGGUGGAAUGCGUAGAUAUCCGAAAGAACACCAGUGGCGAAGGCGGCCUGCUGGGCAGUAGCUGACACUGAGGCGCGACAGCGUGGGGAGCAAACAGGAUUAGAUACCCUGGUAGUCCACGCCGUAAACGAUGGGUACUAGGUGUCUGGGGGAGCGACCCCCUGGGUGCCGGCGCUAACGCAUGAAGUACCCCGCCUGGGGAGUACGGCCGCAAGGCUGAAACUCAAAGGAAUUGACGGGGGCCCGCACAAGCGGUGGAGCAUGUGGUUUAAUUCGACGCAACGCGAAGAACCUUACCUAGGCUUGACAUGCUGGAGAAAGC